UACAGAGGUCUCAAGCGUUGUUCGGAUUCAUUGGGCGUAAAGGGCUCGUAGGCGGCCAACUAAGUCAGACGUGAAAGCCCUCGGCUUAACCGGGGAACUGCGUCUGAUACUGGAUGGCUUGAGAUUGGGAGAGGGAUGCGGAAUUCCAGGUUUAGCGGUGAAAUGCGUAGAUAUCUGGAGGAACACCGGUGGCGAAGGCGGCAUCCUGGACCAACACUGACACUGAGGAGCGACAGCCAGGGGAGCAAACGGG
RNAcentral lists this ribosomal RNA (253 nucleotides) under uncultured bacterium. Its description in RNAcentral is "partial 16S ribosomal RNA". It matches the Rfam family "Bacterial small subunit ribosomal RNA", at positions 524 to 776 of the family's 1533-position model. The record is from RNAcentral.